RNAcentral lists this ribosomal RNA (527 nucleotides) under uncultured bacterium. RNAcentral describes it as "bacterial SSU rRNA". It matches the Rfam family "Bacterial small subunit ribosomal RNA", at positions 777 to 1304 of the family's 1533-position model. The record is from RNAcentral.
AAUAGAUACCCGGGUAGUCCAUGCCGUAAACGAUGAGUGCUAGGUGUUGGAGGGUUUCCGCCCUUCAGUGCCGCAGCUAACGCAUUAAGCACUCCGCCUGGGGAGUACGACCGCAAGGUUGAAACUCAAAGGAAUUGACGGGGGCCCGCACAAGCGGUGGAGCAUGUGGUUUAAUUCGAAGCUACGCGAAGAACCUUACCAGGUCUUGACAUCUUGCGCCAACCCUAGAGAUAGGGCGUUUCCUUCGGGAACGCAAUGACAGGUGGUGCAUGGUCGUCGUCAGCUCGUGUCGUGAGAUGUUGGGUUAAGUCCCGCAACGAGCGCAACCCUUGUUACUAGUUGCCAGCAUUCAGUUGGGCACUCUAGUGAGACUGCCGGUGACAAACCGGAGGAAGGUGGGGACGACGUCAGAUCAUCAUGCCCCUUAUGACCUGGGCUACACACGUGCUACAAUGGACGGUACAACGAGUCGCGAACUCGCGAGGGCAAGCUAAUCUCUUAAAACCGUUCUCAGUUCGGACUGCAGG